GGAGCUUGCUCCCUUAGGUUAGCGGCGGACGGGUGAGUAACACGUGGGUAACCUGCCUGUAAGACUGGGAUAACUCCGGGAAACCGGGGCUAAUACCGGAUGCUUGAUUGAACCGCAUGGUUCAAUUAUAAAAGGUGGCUUUUAGCUACCACUUACAGAUGGACCCGCGGCGCAUUAGCUAGUUGGUGAGGUAACGGCUCACCAAGGCGACGAUGCGUAGCCGACCUGAGAGGGUGAUCGGCCACACUGGGACUGAGACACGGCCCAGACUCCUACGGGAGGCAGCAGUAGGGAAUCUUCCGCAAUGGACGAAAGUCUGACGGAGCAACGCCGCGUGAGUGAUGAAGGUUUUCGGAUCGUAAAACUCUGUUGUUAGGGAAGAACAAGUACCGUUCGAACAGGGCGGUGCCUUGACGGUACCUAACCAGAAAGCCACGGCUAACUACGUGCCAGCAGCCGCGGUAAUACGUAGGUGGCAAGCGUUGUCCGGAAUUAUUGGGCGUAAAGCGCGCGCAGGCGGUUUCUUAAGUCUGAUGUGAAAGCCCCCGGCUCAACCGGGGAGGGUCAUUGGAAACUGGGGAACUUGAGUGCAGAAGAGGAGAGUGGAAUUCCACGUGUAGCGGUGAAAUGCGUAGAGAUGUGGAGGAACACCAGUGGCGAAGGCGACUCUCUGGUCUGUAACUGACGCUGAGGCGCGAAAGCGUG
RNAcentral lists this ribosomal RNA (705 nucleotides) under Bacillus sonorensis. RNAcentral's name for it is "bacterial SSU rRNA". It matches the Rfam family "Bacterial small subunit ribosomal RNA", at positions 75 to 763 of the family's 1533-position model. The record is from RNAcentral. Lineage: Bacteria; Bacillati; Bacillota; Bacilli; Caryophanales; Bacillaceae.